AGAGUUUGAUCAUGGCUCAGGAUGAACGCUGGCGGCGUGCUUAACACAUGCAAGUCGAACGGAAAGGCCCUGCUUGCAGGGUACUCGAGUGGCGAACGGGUGAGUAACACGUGGGUGAUCUGCCCCGCACUUCGGGAUAAGCCUGGGAAACUGGGUCUAAUACCGGAUAGGACCAUGAUUCGGUUCAUGGUGGAAAGUUUUUCGGUGUGGGAUGAGCUCGCGGCCUAUCAGCUUGUUGGUGGGGUAAUGGCCUACCAAGGCGUCGACGGGUAGCCGGCCUGAGAGGGUGGACGGCCACAUUGGGACUGAGAUACGGCCCAGACUCCUACGGGAGGCAGCAGUGGGGAAUAUUGCACAAUGGGCGGAAGCCUGAUGCAGCGACGCCGCGUGGGGGAUGAAGGCCUUCGGGUUGUAAACUCCUUUCGCCAGGGACGAAGCCUUCGGGUGACGGUACCUGGAUAAGAAGCACCGGCUAACUACGUGCCAGCAGCCGCGGUAAUACGUAGGGUGCGAGCGUUGUCCGGAAUUACUGGGCGUAAAGAGCUCGUAGGUGGUUUGUCACGUCGUCUGUGAAAUUCCGGGGCUUAACUCCGGGCGUGCAGGCGAUACGGGCAUAACUUGAGUGCUGUAGGGGAGACUGGAAUUCCUGGUGUAGCGGUGAUAUGCGCAGAUAUCAGGAGGAACACCGAUGGCGAAGGCAGGUCUCUGGGCAGUAACUGACGCUGAGGAGCGAAAGCAUGGGUAGCGAACAGGAUUAGAUACCCUGGUAGUCCAUGCCGUAAACGGUGGGCGCUAGGUGUAGGGGACUUCCACGUCUUCUGUGCCGUAGCUAACGCAUUAAGCGCCCCGCCUGGGGAGUACGGCCGCAAGGCUAAAACUCAAAUGAAUUGACGG
RNAcentral lists this ribosomal RNA (894 nucleotides) under uncultured bacterium. Its description in RNAcentral is "bacterial SSU rRNA". It matches the Rfam family "Bacterial small subunit ribosomal RNA", at positions 8 to 916 of the family's 1533-position model. The record is from RNAcentral.